UUGGAUCAAUAUCUCAGUCCCUCUCCCUUCGAGGGGGAUGUGACAAGUAUCUCCCGGUUAUAAAAGACUUCUACAUUAAGUCGCGAACUCUGCGAGCAUUUUUAUUUUCGAUAUAUUUUGCAUGUAAUUAACUCUAAUUGAAAUAUCGAAGAAGACAUCAAGUUGAUAACAAUCGCUAAUGAUCUCAUCGAAUCGUGUCGUUCUACAAAAAGUGCUCAGUUAUAAAAGAUGUGGUCACUGCAAGAACUGGCAUGUAUUUGUGAAAGAAAGAUGCUGA
Long non-coding RNA from Polistes dominula (European paper wasp), 277 nucleotides. The record is from RefSeq and is a predicted model, not a curated record. NCBI's taxonomy places the organism in Eukaryota, Metazoa, Arthropoda, Insecta, Hymenoptera, Vespidae.